CCCUUAGAUGUUCUGGGCCGCACGCGGGCUACACUGACGAUGGCAACGAGUUUUUCCUUCGCCGAAAGGUGUGGGUAAUCUUUUGAAACAUCGUCGUGCUGGGGAUAGAUCAUUGCAAUUUUUGAUCUUGAACGAGGAAUUCCUAGUAAGCGCGAGUCAUCAGCUCGCGUUGAUUACGUCCCUGCCCUUUGUACACACCGCCCGUCGCUACUACCGAUUGAAUGGUUUAGUGAGGACUCCUGAUUGGCGCCGCCGCCCCGGCAACGGAGCAGCGGACUGCCGAAAAGUUGUUCAAACUUGAUCAUUUAGAGGAAGUAAAAGUCGUAACA
Molecule: ribosomal RNA, 329 nt
Filed under: uncultured eukaryote
Lineage: Eukaryota
Description: partial 18S ribosomal RNA
Rfam family: Eukaryotic small subunit ribosomal RNA
Source: RNAcentral